RNAcentral lists this transfer RNA (69 nucleotides) under Urocitellus parryii (Arctic ground squirrel). RNAcentral's name for it is "Spermophilus parryii (Arctic ground squirrel) tRNA". It matches the Rfam family "tRNA". Rfam says of the family: Transfer RNA (tRNA) molecules are approximately 80 nucleotides in length. Their secondary structure includes four short double-helical elements and three loops (D, anti-codon, and T loops). The record is from Rfam by way of RNAcentral. Lineage: Eukaryota; Metazoa; Chordata; Mammalia; Rodentia; Sciuridae. RNAcentral also lists the same sequence under 2 other names.
GGGGUUGUGGCUUGGUGGUAAAGCACCUGCCUAGCAUGUGUGAGGCCCUGGGUUCAAUUCUCAGCACCA